AGAGUUUGAUCCUGGCUCAGAUUGAACGCUGGCGGCAUGCCUUACACAUGCAAGUCGAACGGUAACGGGCCUUCGGGUGCCGACGAGUGGCGAACGGGUGAGUAAUGUAUCGGAACGUACCUUUCAGUGGGGGAUAACGUAGCGAAAGUUACGCUAAUACCGCAUAUUCUGUGAGCAGGAAAGCAGGGGAUCGCAAGACCUUGCGCUGAUUGAGCGGCCGAUAUCAGAUUAGCUAGUUGGUGAGGUAAAGGCUCACCAAGGCGACGAUCUGUAGCGGGUCUGAGAGGAUGAUCCGCCACACUGGAACUGAGACACGGUCCAGACUCCUACGGGAGGCAGCAGUGGGGAAUUUUGGACAAUGGGGCAACCCUGAUCCAGCCAUGCCGCGUGAGUGAAGAAGGCCUUCGGGUUGUAAAGCUCUUUCGGCCGGGAAGAAAUCGUAUGGGCUAAUACCCUGUGCGGAUGACGGUACCGGCAUAAGAAGCACCGGCUAACUACGUG
RNAcentral lists this ribosomal RNA (501 nucleotides) under uncultured bacterium. Its description in RNAcentral is "bacterial SSU rRNA". It matches the Rfam family "Bacterial small subunit ribosomal RNA", at positions 8 to 507 of the family's 1533-position model. The record is from RNAcentral.